GGGCAUUUCGAAGGCAGGGCGGUUGGUGGCGCGGGCUCGGCCGUUAGCUGCUGCUGCCCGGGAGGAUUCGCGGGGAGGGGGCGUCCUGUCCCGCUGCUCACUCCACAUCAACAGGUACUGCUGACAUACGAUGGACUAAGCAAGUGGGGGCACUCGUGGUCCAUACUUCGAAAUAACCUAUCAUUGUGCACCAUGCUUUAAGCUAUGAGAAGAUUAGCUUUAUGUAGAUGCUGCCAGACCUGCUGAGCUUUUCUGGCAACUUCUGUUUUUGUUCCUGAUUUACAGCAUCUGCAGUUCUUUUGGUUUUUAUCCCAGAUCAGCCCACACCGGAUCAGUUAACUAUUCUACCUGCCAUAUAAGUUGAAGACAACUCUGGAAUAUGGUGAGCACUUUCUGUGCCUUAGCAACCACAUCUCCCAAAAGAUCACCAUAGUUUUUCUAAACAACUUGUUUGGAGAUAUUAUUACACACUCUGAAGCAGAUGAGAUUUAAACCUGGGCCUCCCGGUUCCACUGUGCCACAAGAAUGCCCCCAAAAUUCACCAUCAAAAAGAGAUCACGGAUCAGCUGCCUCAGCUUAGCCUUAUACAAGCUAUAGCAGUACAUUUUUGAUAACAAUGAUCUCUGCUAGUCACUAUGGCUAAUGAGAAGAAAAUACAGCAAACUUCCAAGGGCGCAAAGAUAAUCAUCGAGAAGCUGCCAGCAAAGAGUGGCAAGAAGAGGAGAAAUUCCAGGAAGGAAAGUUACUCCAUCUACAUCUACAAAGCAAUGAAGCAGGCUCACCCUGACACCAAAAUCUCCUCCAAGGCCAAGGAGCAUCAUGAACUCAUUUGUCAAUGAUAUUUUUGAGGGGGAAGCUUCCUGCCUGCCCCAUUACAACAAGUGGAAUACCAUCAGUUCCUGGGAGAUCCAGACCACAUGUACUGCUGCUGCCCGAUGAGCUGGCCAUCUGAGGAAGGAUCACCAGACCCGAAACGUUAACUCUGAUUUUUUUUCUUCACAGAUGCUGCCAGACCCUCUAAGUUUUUCCAGCAACUUCUGUUUUUGUUCAUAACAUUCCCACUGGAGUAGGAAUUGGCUUAUUAACCAAUUCUCAAUCAAUAAUAUAAUCCCAAUCUUAUGCACUACUUUUGUUUACUAACCUCUUGUCUGGGAUCUUAUAAUCUAAAAAAUCCAAAUACACCACAUCCAAUGGUUCACCUUUUUCUCUUCUUUCAGUAAUAUCCUCAAAAAGUUCCAACAGAUUUGUCAAAUAUAAUUUACUUUUCAGAAAUCUGUGUUGACUCUGCCAUUUUUACUUUUUUUUAAUAAAUGUCCAGUUAUCACAAUCUUUGUGAUUGAUAUUUUCAUUACUACUGAUGUCAAACUAACACAUCUGUAGUUCCCCAUUCUUCCUCUCCAUCCCAUAAAUAUUGGGGUUACAUUUACAGUUUUCAAGAAUCUAUAGAACUUUGAAAAAUAACCACCAAUGCAACCACAAUUUCGAUAAUCACCUUGAUCAUGAUGGAAUGAAGCUCAUUUAUUCCAGGAAAAUUAUCAUCCUCAAUCUGGUUAACUUUUCAAGUAAUUCCUCUUUCUAUUACUAAGUCUUUCGUUUCCUCAGUUUCACAAAUCCAUUGGUUGUCUAAUAUUUCUGCUCUCUGUCUCCAAAGAUCUGGUUUGAGAAAUGAUUUACAAUCUCACAAUGACCCAUCACAGAAACCUGUGACCUAGAGUUGGCAUCAUCCUCAAAUUGAGGGACAGUCAACCACAAUAACAGAACUCAAAGUUACAAGAAAAGGAUGUAGAUCUCAGUUUUGAAGUGAUAUUAUGUUGACUAAAUUAAGAUUUGUUGAAAAUUUAGAUCACAAGAGUAACUUCAAAAUGUAUGAUAUAUAGCAAUUUACUGUAAAUUAGAAAUAGAAGUACAAAAUUGCUAAAAAUUCUGCUAAGAGUCAGGUGAUCAGUGGUAGACUAGUUGUUUGUUUUCUCUAAUCUGGUUGGCUGCAACAGAUUUUCUUUUGGAAUUUGCCAGUUCAGUGAGUGUUUAACUAUUUCACAUGCUGUGACUGUAAAAGACACCAAUUUCCUUGUACAGUUAAAAAAGGGGAAAAAAUUAUUGUACUUGACAGCUAUUCCAUGGACAUGAUUAAAAAUUGUUUCAAUUCU
This is a long non-coding RNA of Rhincodon typus (whale shark), 2147 nucleotides long. RefSeq lists it as uncharacterized. The record is from RefSeq and is a predicted model, not a curated record. Lineage: Eukaryota; Metazoa; Chordata; Chondrichthyes; Orectolobiformes; Rhincodontidae. The transcript is spliced from 2 exons.